GAGAGACACAGAGCACAUCAGUUACAAGGCUCCACCUGGACUCCUCACAACAGUUAUGAGGCUCCACCUGGACUCCUCACAACAGUUAUGAGGCUCCACCUGGCCUCCUUCCAAUGCUUCUUCUCAAGUUGAAUGGAAAUUAACGUCAAGCGUCUUCGAUACACACCUGAACAAAAAGGUGGAUGCCAUAGAUGGGGUACACAUAGAUGGUGCCUGGUUUCAUAAACAUGGCGGUGGUCCUCUGUGUGCGUUUCCCCCCGGCAGAGUGAGAGGCUUUGUCCACGCCCCCCAGGUGCACCUGAGGUGGGUGUAGGUCCUUGGUGAGAGGGAGAGGCUCCACAUCUGCUGGGAUCGGGUUCCAAGAGGCCCCUGGCUGGCCCCACCCCCUUGUCAGAGACACGCUUGACGAGAAACAUCUGUCCAACCUGCUCACGCAAUUAUUAAACUUCAAGUGCAUGUGGUUCUGAAGAUAGCAACUUGUUCUGAUUAAACUGGAUAUACAGGAGCUGGCAUGUGGGAUUUUGGUUAAGAGGCUGAGUGGGAAUUGAGAGGUUAAAACACAACACUGAGAACAUUGUAGCCCACCACACCUCAUUUUAGGUCAAAAAUAAAUAAAUCCUGCCUCCAUGUUGGUCAAAAAAUAAAAAACUGGCCUGUAGAGAUGCACUCACUCUCAAAUGCAUAGACAAAGAUGCAAGACCAGUCUUUAUUUCCACAUUGGUUUACAUUUAAAACGUUUGGAACAUUGGCCCAUAACAAACCUACCAAUUUUGCAGGUUUUCCUACUUACCUGCAAAAUCGGCAGUGUAUCAAAUGCUUGUUCUCCCCACUGUAUACUGUAUGUUGAGUUAAGACUUCAAUUUAACUAUUGAACCAAGCUUGUUAGGAUUUAAAUGAAUAUUGUUUUAUUUUAAAGUAAAACAAUUGUUUAUUAUUGCAAUUGUUUAU
Long non-coding RNA from Esox lucius (northern pike), 948 nucleotides. RefSeq lists it as uncharacterized. The transcript has 3 exons. The record is from RefSeq and is a predicted model, not a curated record. Lineage: Eukaryota; Metazoa; Chordata; Actinopteri; Esociformes; Esocidae.